RNAcentral lists this unclassified non-coding RNA (310 nucleotides) under plant metagenome. Its description in RNAcentral is "partial contains 5.8S ribosomal RNA, internal transcribed spacer 2, and large subunit ribosomal RNA". The stretch from base 1 to 105 matches the Rfam family "5.8S ribosomal RNA", at positions 50 to 154 of the family's 154-position model. The record is from RNAcentral.
GAAAUGCGAUAAGUAGUGUGAAUUGCAGAAUUCAGUGAAUCAUCGAAUCUUAGAACGCACAUUGCGCCCCUUGGUAUUCCAUGGGGCAUGCCUGUUCGAGCGUCAUUUGUACCCUCAAGCUCUGCUUGGUGUUGGGUGUUUGUCCCCGUCUCCGCGCGUGGACUCGCCCCAAAGUGAUUGGCAGCCGGCGUACUGGUCCCGGAGCGCAGCACAUGUCGCGCAAACGAGUGCCUUGGUACGGCGGCGUCCAUAAGCCCCUCUCUCACGCUCUUGACCUCGGAUCAGGUAGGGAUACCCGCUGAACUUAAGC